Leptidea sinapis is the source of this 1049-nucleotide long non-coding RNA. RefSeq lists it as uncharacterized. NCBI's taxonomy places the organism in Eukaryota, Metazoa, Arthropoda, Insecta, Lepidoptera, Pieridae. The record is from RefSeq and is a predicted model, not a curated record. The transcript is spliced from 8 exons.
GCCAGUCACACAGUACCGCUGGUUUCAUCCAAAUUCAAGGUUACAUGAAAAGGAAAAGGGGUAGACCUUUCCAAAGACGGGUGGACCAAAUAAGAACUGUUGCAGGUGGCACAUGGACUAGAACUGCGGGGCAUAGAAAUUUGUGGAGGAAAUUAGAGGAGGACUUUGCCAACAAUAGGCAAACAGACAAGCUAUAUUGGGGAAUUCUGCGAUGUCAUUGUUACUGUGGAUAUUAUCAUAAAAGGAUUUUGGAAGAAUGAAAUUCUGCAAGCGAAAUCCAGUUCAUAUUACAGUCGCUGGUUGUAUUUGACUUUAUUCUUUGGCCCUUUAGAUGUUCUAGGAUGUACCCCAAUGUAUCUCAUCCUGAAUAUCAUAAUACCAAGUAAUAUUGAUGAAAACAAUGAGGUUUUACUAAACACUAUUAUGAAAUUUGCCCAUUUGUACAUGUUGCUUGGCUAUUUCAACUAAAUAGCAGAUUCGCCAACGAAGAAUAUUGCAUUUUAUAUGAUACUAAAGUUCCACAUAUUGAGUAUACUGGUGGUGUUAGGUACUAGUAGCUACUUUGUCAGCAUGUCAGAUGUAUUGACUUCGGUUGAGAUGCGGCGGGUCAACUUGGUACAAUGACUCGUCGCAACGAAUGGAUCCCAAGUUUUAUACCUUAAGAUGAAAAGCCUACAUUGGAUCAAUUACAUAUGAUUGAAUUGGUUGUUGUGAAUGGACAGUGCAAAGAAAGACCUGUAAUGUUUCGAAUGUUUAAGAAUUGGCAAUAUUAUAUUGAUAUUUUGUCGAUAGUGUUACCACUUUUCACCGAUAUAAUGGGUAAAUUUAUUGUGCAAGAGGGUGAUAUAUUUUCAUGUUUGUAUUUAAUAAACGAAGGCGAGGUUGAAAAAUGGUAUACUGAUAAGAGGUCGUUGACUUCGUAUACCUUCGAUUCGCCAAUUGGCAGGAUUUGCUGCAGGGCUACCCGAAUAUAAAGUAUGAAUUGAACAAAAAUGCCAAGCUAUUUAAGAAGGAAUUGUUUGUGUGAUUAAAAUAAAGACUGUUAUUAU